GGUAGUCUCGCACAGAUGCAUAUCAAUAAGCGGAGGAAAAGAAACUAACAAGGAUUCCCCUAGUAACGGCGAGUGAAGCGGGAAGAGCUCAAAUUUGAAAUCUUAAAGGGUUUCCCUUUACGAAUUGUAGUUUAAAGAAGUGUUUUCUGUUGAGGUUUUGGUAAAAGUUCUUUGGAAUAGGACAUCAUAGAGGGUGAGAAUCCCGUAUUUGACCUUUACUUUCAACUUUGUGAUACACUUUCAAAGAGUCGGAUUGUUUGGGAAUGCAGUCCAAAAUGGGUGGUAAAUUUCAUCUAAAGCUAAAUAUUGGCGAGAGACCGAUAGCGAACAAGUACCGUGAGGGAAAGAUGAAAAGAACUUUGAAAAGAGAGUUAAACAGUACGUGAAAUUGUCAAAAGGGAAGCGUUUGACACCAGUGUUGUUUUUCUGAAAAUCAACUAAAGAACUGUUUAUGCUAAGCUGUUUAGACUUUAUCAGCUAAUCUGUUUAGUUUUGAGCCUUUCUUUAAUGCACUUUUCAGUUAACAAGUCAACAUCAAUUUCUUUUGCUGUAAAAAAGCUUGAGGAAGGUGGCUUGAGAUUCGUCUUAAGUGUUUAUAGCCUCUUGCCUAUGCAGUCGGAGAGAUUGAGGUCUGCAGCGUAGAUCCUUCGGGGCUAAAUGCAUUUGUGCUAAGUUAUAGCAUUUUCAUAGACAACUUGUUGACUAUGAUUCGUCUUGUAGCUUACUCGCUUAUGUUAUUUUACCUACGCUUAGGAUGUUGAUCUGUAGUGCGUGCGC
This 777-nucleotide ribosomal RNA is filed under the name uncultured Neocallimastigales. RNAcentral describes it as "partial large subunit ribosomal RNA". It matches the Rfam family "Eukaryotic large subunit ribosomal RNA", at positions 24 to 647 of the family's 3401-position model. Lineage: Eukaryota; Fungi; Neocallimastigomycota; Neocallimastigomycetes; Neocallimastigales. The record is from RNAcentral.